AUUGAACGCUAGCGGGAUGCCUUACACAUGCAAGUCGAACGGCAGCACGGACUUCGGUCUGGUGGCGAGUGGCGAACGGGUGAGUAAUGUAUCGGAACGUGCCCAGUAGCGGGGGAUAACUACUCGAAAGAGUAGCUAAUACCGCAUACGCCCUACGGGGGAAAGGGGGGGAUCGCAAGACCUCUCACUAUUGGAGCGGCCGAUAUCGGAUUAGCUAGUUGGUGGGGUAAAGGCCCACCAAGGCGACGAUCCGUAGCUGGGUUGAGAGGACGACCAGCCACACUGGGACUGAGACACGGCCCAGACUCCUACGGGAGGCAGCAGUGGGGAAUUUUGGACAAUGGGGGCAACCCUGAUCCAGCCAUCCCGCGUGUGCGAUGAAGGCCUUCGGGUUGUAAAGCACUUUUGGUAGGAAAGAAAUCGCAUGGGUUAAUACCCUGUGUGGAUGACGGUACCUGCAGAAUAAGCACCGGCUAACUACGUGCCAGCCGCCGCAGUAA
RNAcentral lists this ribosomal RNA (500 nucleotides) under uncultured bacterium. RNAcentral's name for it is "partial 16S ribosomal RNA". It matches the Rfam family "Bacterial small subunit ribosomal RNA", at positions 30 to 523 of the family's 1533-position model. The record is from RNAcentral.